GAGACUCCAAUUUUCCAUCUACAGCCAAGGAGGAGAAAGCAGGGACCCUUUAAACUUUAGCAGCCUGGGGGUUAUGUGUGGUGUCAGCCAUCUGGCUGAUGUCAUUGGUGACUCCUCAGCCAGCCAGAGGGCAGAGGAGACUCACGAGGCCUUGAAAGAGAAUCCAGGAUUGUUGGCUGGUCUUUGCUUCCUUUAAUGAGUGGCUACAUAGACAAUGUCAUAAACCAAAUGACGGUUUAUUCUUCAGAGAAGCAUCGUUGCAGUGGAAGAGUUUGGAUGAGAACAAGGCGCUACAAAUCAAUCAGGGAUUUGUUCUGUAGGCCUGUCAGGUCUAUAAAUAGCUAGACUCCUGCUUACCAAGUAGUGGAUGGAUGUACAUCUCCAGGCACAUUUGGAUUUACUAUUUCACUUGAACAGUUGGUGUUUACUGGCAGCAACAAGAACAAAAUUUAUAGCAGCAAAUGGAAGCUGAACUCGCAUGCUGGCUUUGCACUGAAGAACUUUGUGUUUGCCAUUUCCUAAUUGUGAAAACAAUAUGUCCAAGAUUUUGCAGUCAUCAGCAUUCUGAUGUAACGACUUCCAUCUGGUCAAAGGAAGAAAUUCAGAACCUCUAUCUCCUUUUGAAUUCUACUUCAGUGCAAAGGUAACUGGCUUAGGAGAAUGUUGGAAGACAAGAAAUUCAGACAAUACAUUCUGAAAAGCGACUAUAACAUCCACUUUUCCAGGGGAUAAUUUUCCUGAAGAGCAAACAGGGGUAGGGAAUUUGUCACGAUCUUCUUAAUGGAAGCGGCUCUAAUUGGAGCAAGAUGACAGGAUUACUUGGAGGUGAGAGAGGAUAAAGAAAGCAGGAUGAUUUGUGGCGCGUUCCAAUCGGAGGUAAUAAGAAGUCAGAGAUCCACAGAGACCAUGCAAUUGGAGACCAAUACGAAGGCAAUGGAGGCCAACAACGUGGUAAUAAGAAGUGGUUUAACAUCCCAUCUCAUCCCAUCUGGCAUUCAGAAUUUGGCACUGGUUAUUGAAAUAUGAAGCUCCUGAUGGUCCUCACACUCCUACAGUGACCUUCUUCACUCAUUAGCCAGGAGUUGAAGCUGAAAGAAAUGUAGCAUAAUAUCUCAAAUGCUUGCUUUGCAUUUUUUAUAUUCAUUGAUUCAACAAUUAUUUACUGAGCACUAUAUUGCAUUUUAGGAAUGGCAUUAGGUACUGGAGAUAUGGGCUAACACACAUUUCUUGGCUACCCAUUAUAGAUAAUUACAUGAGAAACACAAAAUAUGCAUAGAAGGACCCUAAUUUCGAGUCAAACAACCCAGGAAGAAGACUUCUCUAUAGCUAUCUUUAUACUUUAUAUUAAUCUUUUUCUUUGUAUUUUAUGUUCAUCUUCUUCUUCCUGAAAUGAGAAGGGAAGGAAAAUAGAAUUCUAGAAAUAACCUUACAGCUGCCCUUCACUCUAUGGAAAAAGUGAGCUCUUGACAGGAAAGGGGUUCUAUCCAUGAUCUUACAAUUCCUAAACAGCAACAGCAUCAUGGACGUAUUUGUUCCUGGCGUCAUAAGCCUGCAUACGGUAGGCAUUCAGUUAAUAGGUACUGAUUGGUCUAACAGAGGAAGCUGGGCUUGAUUAUAAAAUAAACUAGGCUAUGAAAUCAUGCCUCCUAAAAGCUCAUUAAAGGCAGCAACACGGGAUGGGGACUGUAAGGAAGUUGUCUCCCACCUGCCUCCCUCCUCAGACACACAUCAUUCCGCAGAUGUGAAAACGACCCAGACUCUGCCCGCAUGUGGCCUCCCGGACCGGGCAGUAGGGCCUUGCCCCUACCCUCAUGAAGACUGUCGGCUGUGUUACAGAACUGCUGCUCUGUCUCUGACUCCCCUCACUCCCAUGCUCUGUUGGAAACUCAAGUUGUGAAACCACAAAACACAGAAAGGAAGUGGUCAACUAUUGCACAUACUCAAGCUAUGUAGUCUCAGUUUAUUCCAUUCUUGCAGGAUCAUUGUAGGAAGGCAUAAGAGUCCUGCUUACUGGUGAGCCACUGAACACAAACUCCCUUCUCACCUCUGCCUUGGAUCCCGCCAUGCCUGAGGUCUAGGGCUAGAAGCGUUGUUUCAUCCACAUUAAUUCCGGUCUUGGGCAACGUGGCUAUUUUCUGACCUGUCUGUCUUCCCACCCUAGUGGUGAAUUCUCUUUCUGGGAUCUCAACUCCUUCUCCUGUCACCCAGCUUUUUCCGAGCAACCCCAGUCCAUCUGGCAUAUCAUUAGAAUGUUAAACCUAAAACGGUAAGCCAUUCUGUGAAUACCUUUAAGUAACAGGAUAUUAAAAUGAGACUUUUCCUGUUUUCUCAGUGCUAGCUGACAUCUUUGAGCUGAGAAAAAAAAAUAUUGUUAAAAAUGCUCAUCUAUUCUCAGGAGAUGUCAUCUGCUAAGGAGUGACCAAAAAAAUGGUCCAAUAACCCUGAAACCAUCGCUCAAAUCUUAGCUACGCAAGGGGAGACUUGUAAAUUAAUGAGGACGGCAAGGAUUUCAUGAGACAGAGCUUUCAGGCUGCUAAAAUGCUUCCUCCUCCCUUCUCAUGUGUUUUCCCCUCAUCUUACGCAAAUAAGAGGGGGCCUUCAGAGAAUUACUUGGAGAGCUGACCUAGGACCCCUAGGCUUUGGGGAACAUAGAAUGUAUUAGUGUCUAUUGCUGCUGAAACAAAUUAGCACACAUUUAACAGCUUAAAAAUAGCAAAAUUACUACCUCACAGUUCUGUAGGUUAGAAGUCCAGUGGGCGCGGCUGGUGUGUGGGCUUCAAGCCUCACAGGGCUGAAAUCAAGGUGUUGGCCAGGCUGUACUCCCUCCUAGAGGCUCUAAUGAAGCAUCUGUUUCCAGGCCUCUGCGCCUUGUUGGCGGAAUUCAGUUCAAUUUGCCUGAUGGACUGAGGUCCCUGCUUCCCUGCGGGCUGUCGGCGGGAACUGCCACUGGCUCCUUGCAGCCUCUCUCUGAUUCUUGCACAAGGGCACCUACAUCUCAGAGCCAGCGAGAGUGUGAGUGUGUGGAAUCCUUCUCACGAGGCCUCAUCUCUCUGACUUUCGUCGGGAAAUGUUCUCUGCUUUUAAAGGAUCAUGUAAUUAUUUUGAGCCUACCCGAUAAUCCAGGAUAAUCCCCUCAUCUAAAAAUCUGUUACCUUAACCACAUCUGCAAAGUCCCUGUUGCCGUGUAAUGUAAGCUAUUCACAGGUUCUGGGGAUUAGGAAAAGGACAUCUUUGGUGGGGGCCUUAUUCAGCCUACCACAUAGAGAUUAGUACCUGAAAAGCCAGCAGGUGAGAAGCUAGACAGAGCAGCCGGUGGCAGCUAAAGGAGAAAGGGGGCGAGAGCUGGAGAAGUCGCACUUCCGCCGAUGGCGCAGCAAAGGGGAUGUUGCCCUGGAGGACUCAGGGAACGGAACUGGGCUAUCAGCCGAGAAUGGGGCUCCACUCAAAAGGAGGAACCAACAGGAGACACAAGGAACCCCAGCAGGAAGAAGUCGGAGAUGGAGGAGGGGAAGUCAUAGCUGGAGGAGACGUGUGUUAGGAAGCUACAAUGGCAGCUCCCUAGUGGAGGUGUUUCGGAAAAACUCCGAAGAUUCCACUUGAGAAAAUCAUCGGCCUUCAGACAACGUCUAUGCCAGAUAAUGCUACCAAAUCACAACCUUGCCUUUCCUCCCUACUGCUGUUCUGAUGUGGGAGGACCCAAAGGCAGCAGAAGAGCCAAAGAAGAGUAGCAGAAAGGUUUAGGUGCAGUCAUCUUGGAUUUGAGUCGUGCUUGUGAAUUUUCAUGUGUUACAACAACCAGGAUGCAAAGUAUUGUUCCUGGGUGUGUCUAAGGGUGUUGCCAAAGGAGAUUAACAUCUGAGUCAGUGGACUGGGAGAGGCUGACCCAGCUGCAAUGUGAGUGGGCACAAUCUAAUCAGCUGCCAGUACGGCCAGACUAAAGCAGGCAGAAGAAGGUGGGAGAAGCCGACUUGCUGAGUCUUACGGCUUUCAUCUUUUCUCCCCUCCUGGAUGCUUCCUGCCCUCGAACAUCAGACUCCAAGUUCUUCAGCUUUUGGACUCUCGCACUUAGACCAGUGGUUUGCCAGGGGCUCUCGGGCCUUCGGCCACAGACUGAAGGAUACACUGUCAGCUUCCCUACUUUUGGGGUUUUGGGACUGGGACUGGUUUCCUUCCUCCUCAGCUUGCAGACAGCCUAUCAUGGGAUUUCACCUUGUGAUCGUGUGAGUCAAUUCUCCUUAAUAAACUCCCCUUCACAUAUACAUCUAUCUUAUUCUGUCCCUCUAGAGAACCCUGACUAAUACAUCUAGCAUUAAAAAAAAAUGCAAGUGAUAAACUGGGAAAUAAUAUUCAUAAUAUAUAUGACAGAUUAAAUGUUUGUUAUUUUUUGUUAUAUUAUUUAUGUUACUACCAAAAUGGCAAAAAAAUGAAUAAAAAUAAUACAAAAUUAUAAACAGAAGAAGAGACAAUGGACAAAGGAAAUAAAAUUUUUGAAAGAUGGAGAACAGGUAAAAAGAUCAACAGAACUGAAAACUCAAGCAUCAAGUAACUGUGAAGGAAAUGCCAGUGAGAAGCAAGCCAACCCUUGCAAGGCAGCACUAGAAAGUCUAGGCAUGGGAAGUACUAGCUAGUGUGGAAGGCAGUGCAUUUCACAACAGGAACAACGUAACAUCCAAUAAGUAUGACCAAUACCUUCAAAAUCACUAGAAAAGAAAUGCAAAUUUUAAAGAGAUUUAUAUCAGGCUGCAAAGGCUGAAAAUAUAAUAUUCAGCAUUUUUUUUUCAUUCAUUCUUCAAAUAUAUGCCAGAAGCCAGACAACCCUUUUGAAGAGCUUUUCUGCAAAGGCCCAUUUACAUUUCCUUCACAGAGAAAGGUGAGAGCAAGUAGAGAAGAGCAUGGGGUUGUGUGGAUUGUGAGAAUGGCCCCGUUUCUUCACUCAUCUAUAUAAAGAAGCCCUUUGCCACGUAACUUUGCAGUGUCCUCCCAACAUGGCUGGAGUGACCUGCCCCAUCCUUGACUCUCAGCUUGCCAUGUGACAUGCUUUGGUGUAAAGAAUAAGGUGGAAGGGAUGAUGUCCUGGUUUUAAGCCCAGAGGUAGGCCUGGGCUCCUGUGUUUCUGUAUCAUUAUGAGAGCAUGGCUGGGUUCACCUGCUUUUCCAGGAGGAGGAACCAGUGGGAACACUAAGAUAGCCAUAAACUUCUUCUCUAUUACACUAUACCCUUUUCUAAUCUGUAUUUUGACUUUGUUAACAAAUCCUCAAGUCAAUA
Homo sapiens (human) is the source of this 5265-nucleotide long non-coding RNA. Ensembl annotates it as deleted in lymphocytic leukemia 1. Its record names the gene DLEU1. Lineage: Eukaryota; Metazoa; Chordata; Mammalia; Primates; Hominidae. The record is from Ensembl.